RNAcentral lists this ribosomal RNA (383 nucleotides) under uncultured eukaryote. RNAcentral describes it as "partial 18S ribosomal RNA". It matches the Rfam family "Eukaryotic small subunit ribosomal RNA", at positions 592 to 976 of the family's 1831-position model. The record is from RNAcentral.
CAAUAGCGUAUAUUAAAGUUGUUGCAGUUAAAAAGCUCGUAGUUGGAUUUCUGGUGGGAGCGAUCGGUCUGGCGCUUAGCGCGAGUACUUGCAUCGUCUCCGGCCAUCCUUGGGGAGAGUCUGUCUGGCAUUAGGUUGUCGGGCAGAGGAUCCUCAUCGUUUACUGUGAAAAAAUUAGAGUGUUCAAAGCAGGCUUAUGCCGUUGAAUAUAUUAGCAUGGAAUAAUAAGAUAGGACUUUGGUACUAUUUUGUUGGUUUGCGCACCAAAGUAAUGAUUAAUAGGGACAGUUGGGGGUAUUCGUAUUCCGUUGUCAGAGGUGAAAUUCUUGGAUUUAUGAAAGACGAACUACUGCGAAAGCAUUUACCAAGGAUGUUUUCAUUAA